RNAcentral lists this unclassified non-coding RNA (1064 nucleotides) under Triticum aestivum (bread wheat). RNAcentral's name for it is "partial contains internal transcribed spacer 1, 5.8S ribosomal RNA, internal transcribed spacer 2, and large subunit ribosomal RNA". The stretch from base 406 to 1064 matches the Rfam family "Eukaryotic large subunit ribosomal RNA", at positions 1 to 667 of the family's 3401-position model. The record is from RNAcentral. Lineage: Eukaryota; Viridiplantae; Streptophyta; Magnoliopsida; Poales; Poaceae.
UCGUGUUGCAAAUCUAUUUAAUCCACACGACUCUCGGCAACGGAUAUCUCGGCUCUCGCAUCGAUGAAGAACGUAGCGAAAUGCGAUACCUGGUGUGAAUUGCAGAAUCCCGCGAACCAUCGAGUCUUUGAACGCAAGUUGCGCCCGAGGCCACUCGGCCGAGGGCACGCCUGCCUGGGCGUCACGCCAAAACACGCUCCCAACCACUCUCAACGGGAAUCGGGAUGCGGCAUCUGGUCCCUCGUCUCUCAAGGGACGGUGGACCGAAGAUUGGGCUGCCGGCGUACCGCGCCGGACACAGCGCAUGGUGGGCGUCCUCGCUUUAUCAAUGCAGUGCAUCCGGCGCGCAGCUGGCAUUAUGGCCUUUGAACGACCCAACAAACGAAGCGCACGUCGCUUCGACCGCGACCCCAGGUCAGGCGGGACUACCCGCUGAGUUUAAGCAUAUAAACAAGCGGAGGAGAAGAAACUUACAAGGAUUCCCCUAGUAACGGCUAGCGAACCGGGAGCAGCCCAGCUUGAGAAUCGGGCGGCUGUGCCGUCCGAAUUGUAGUCUGGAGAGGCGUCCUCAGCGACGGACCGGGCCCAAGUCCCCUGGAAAGGGGCGCCUGGGAGGGUGAGAGCCUCGUCCGGCCCGGACCCUGUCGCCCCACUAGGCGCCGUCAACGAGUCGGGUUGUUUGGGAAUGCAGCCCAAAUCGGGCGGUAGACUCCGUCCAAGGCUAAAUACAGGCGAGAGACCGAUAGCGAACAAGUACCGCGAGGGAAAGAUGAAAAGGACUUUGAAAAGAGAGUCAAAGAGUGCUUGAAAUUGCCGGGAGGGAAGCGGAUGGGGGCCGGCGAUGCGCCCCGGCCGUAUGCGGAACGGCUCUUGCUGGUCCGCCGCUCGGCUCGGGGUGUGGACUGUUGUCGGCCGCGCCGGCGGCCAAAGCCCGGGGGCCCUAGGUGCCCCCGGUGGCCGUCGUCGGCACGGCCGGUACCCGCGCGCCGAAAGGCGUGUCCCUCGGGGCACUGCGCUGCAACGGCCUGCGGGCUCCCCAUCCGACCCGUCUUGAAACACGGACC